UUCAGUUCGGACGGUUCGGUUACUAUACUGAUAAGCCCACAAUGCAGGGGAUUUCUAACUAGCUGUCCAUUGGCCCAAUUUUGCAACAGUAAACUUUUUUUCUUUUUCCUUUUUUUUUACACUUAAAUUUGAUGGCCUAUUUGAAUUUUAUUUUUUUUUCAUCUUUAUGAGAUGUAAGUCACCUUAAAAAUUUAGUACCAUGUAAUUUCUUUCCCUCGGUGAAAAAUUCUUUUCUUUUUUUAUAUACUAUGUACUAGUAUAUAAAUUUCCUCCCUUUCUAAAUAUAAGUAGUUUCUAUUUGACUUAUUAAACUUGUUUAUCUUAGUUGUUGUCAUUUUUUUAAUAUCCGUACUCCAUCUAUCAUAUAAUCCUCCAACAUUAAAGUAACACUCCGUACUUGUUAUGGGGUAGUUUCUACUAGUACUAAUAAUACAAUAAUCAUUAAAGAUAGAGUAGUAUUGACAAUGAAAUUAAUUUGUUAUUAAGGGAGGAUGUAGAAGCCAAAUUGAAUUUGAGUACAAAGAGUAUGGGCACAUUUUAUGGGUGCAAUCAUAAGCAAGUAGUUAUAAAUUACAAAGUAUAUUAAUAAAUUUAGAUAUAUGCAUAAUAAUUAUCCUCUGCUUUUUUUUUUUUAGGAAAUAAUAAUUAUGCAAUAUCUAUCUUCAUUAUAUUUAUAGUUUUCAAUGAUGAAAAUGCAUGGGUUAUGGGUUUAUACAUCGCUCAAAUCAAAGCAUAUUCUCUUAUCAAGUACGUUUUAAUCCUAUCUUUGUUACGUUGGUCUUGUCUUGCGGCGUUACACGUGAAAGUAGCCUCCUAUCACGUUUCCUUGCUUUAUGCCAUUCUUUCCUCUGUCUCAGGAGCUCAACUAUUGAUGAUCAUAAAUGUUGAAGAAAGCAAAACAAAGAAUAGAGGAAGGAACAUCGGAGGAAUCUAAAGAGAAGCACAUGGUGGGGCCCGGCGGUGGGGAGGAGUAACAUUGAGUUGCGUCAUCCACCACCACAGUUGACAGAAUGACAGUAUAACCUCUCUUUGCUUUUCCUCAAAAGGUCUUUUAUUUAUUGCUUCAUCCCUAAAUCAUAAUCUUAAUCAAAACUUUCUACUUGCGUGUCAAUUUCUAAUUGCCAUUUUUCAAGUUGCAUUAUACGAAGUACUCCUAAAAACUUGGUCGUGGUACUACACAUUUACCACCACUCUCUAACUCUCUAGUACGGAGUACUACACUCCACUUACGUGUUAUGAACUUAUGAUUUACGAGCACUCUCUUUAGGUCCUUCGUUUCAUUAUAAUUGUCUUUGUAAAAAAACGUAAUUUUAUAAUUAGAUAAAGUUAAUGCGAGAAAAUUUGAUGGAAAUAAAAUAGUUUAUGUGAGAAUAUUAUGGUUCUCUUAUGUUUUUGUAGCAUGGGGCAAACUUCGUGAAAAAAGAGAAAAUAAAAGGAGAUAUGAUACAUACAAUAAUUCUGUUUAGUCUUUACCUCCACAAUGUCUAGUAGGCAGUACUAGUUUACCAUACAUACAUUCAUUUCUCCUCCAUUCAUUUAGUGUCUUGGGACACCUUUUGUCUAGUUUUAAUAUUCCACUUUAAAUCAUAUUGUCACAUUCUAACUGACUUACCUAUCUUCUAUAAUUCUACUACUUCAUAACUCAUAUGUUGAUACCUUUACUUUAACAAGGGGUAGGGAUUUGAAUCCAUGAUAUAAUUAUACACAGGUUCUUAAUUAUAACCAUCAGAUCAAGACCUCAUCAAUAUAUAUUAUUAUAGAAAACAAAGUAUAUUGUUACAAACUUACAAAAAUAUUAUAAAUAAUUGGUCUAAUUAAGUAGUCCGUAUUUUACUAUUUUGUAAUUGGCUGUGACAUGAAAGAAAGGUUAUUGUUGAGCCCAUGAACAACCCACAUGUGAGCAUUCUCUUGUCCUACACUAAACACUAAAAGGGGAGUGUAGUGGUAAUGAAAUCCCACAUUGAAAGAAUUCAAGAGUUACCACCACUAUAUAAGGCUAAGGGGCUAUUCCUCUCAUUGUCAUAUGGUUUUGAGGUGGAACCUCCUUGGUCUUGUAAAAGUGGUGGACUUGCACUCUCCCGUGACGGGUGCGGCCCAGACCCGUAUUUAACCGUUAUCAUUAUUUACACAUUUUUAUUUGGUGCCCAAAAAAAAAAAAAAAAAAAAAAAAAAAAAAAAAGG
This is a long non-coding RNA of Chenopodium quinoa (quinoa), 2181 nucleotides long. RefSeq lists it as uncharacterized. The record is from RefSeq and is a predicted model, not a curated record. The transcript is spliced from 2 exons. Lineage: Eukaryota; Viridiplantae; Streptophyta; Magnoliopsida; Caryophyllales; Amaranthaceae.